RNAcentral lists this transfer RNA (67 nucleotides) under Babylonia zeylanica. Its description in RNAcentral is "tRNA-Lys". It matches the Rfam family "tRNA". Rfam says of the family: Transfer RNA (tRNA) molecules are approximately 80 nucleotides in length. Their secondary structure includes four short double-helical elements and three loops (D, anti-codon, and T loops). The record is from RNAcentral. Lineage: Eukaryota; Metazoa; Mollusca; Gastropoda; Neogastropoda; Buccinidae.
UCUUAGAUGACUGAGAUAAAUAAGUGUUAGAUUUUUAAUCUAAAGACGGCGGUAUCGCCUCUAAGAA